AUUCUUAUAGUUUAAGGAAAAUGUAACGUUGAAAAUGUUGAGAUAAGAGAUUUAAGAAUA
RNAcentral lists this transfer RNA (60 nucleotides) under Argas sp. SpringbokSA-QMS95171. RNAcentral's name for it is "tRNA-Phe". Lineage: Eukaryota; Metazoa; Arthropoda; Arachnida; Ixodida; Argasidae. The record is from RNAcentral.